UGAGCAAUCUGCCCUUCUCUUUGGAAUAAGCGUUGGAAACGACGUCUAAUGCCGAACACGACCUCCUUUCGCAUGAUCGGAGGUGGAAAGCUCCGGCGGAGAAGGAUGAGCUCGCGGCCUAUCAGCUAGUUGGUGUGGGUAAUGGCCCACCAAGGCGACGACGGGUAGCCGGCCUGAGAGGGUGACCGGCCACACUGGGACUGAGACACGGCCCAGACUCCGUACGGGAGGNAGCG
RNAcentral lists this ribosomal RNA (236 nucleotides) under uncultured bacterium. RNAcentral describes it as "partial 16S ribosomal RNA". It matches the Rfam family "Bacterial small subunit ribosomal RNA", at positions 118 to 353 of the family's 1533-position model. The record is from RNAcentral.